Molecule: ribosomal RNA, 257 nt
Filed under: uncultured bacterium
Lineage: Bacteria
Description: partial 16S ribosomal RNA
Rfam family: Bacterial small subunit ribosomal RNA
Source: RNAcentral
UACGGGGAGGGCGAGCGUUAUUCAGCGUAAUUGGGCGUAAAGGGCAUGUAGGCGGUUUAAUAUGUUCAAAGUAAAAUCUUAUGGCUUAACUGUAAAAAAACUUUAUGGAAUACUAUUAAACUUGAGUAUAGGAGAAGAUAGCGAUACUUUUAGAGGAAAGGUAAAAUUUCGAAAUACUAAAAGAGUCACCAACUGGCGAAGGCGGCUAUCUAAUUUAUAACUGACGCUGUCGUGCAAAAGCGUGGGGAGCAAACAGG